AGGUUGUCAGCAUUCGAAGUCCGGAGAAUGACCGUCCCUUCCAGGGUUUCAAGUCGGUAGGCGCCCGGCCUGCAGAUGUCUGCAAUCUUGUAGGGUCCUUUCCAAUUCGGGGACAGUUUUUCUUGAUCCUGAGGCUUCGAGACUUCUACCUUCCUCAAAAUCAGAUCUCCGGGUCUGAAAGAUUUCUGCUUGACUUUAGCGUUGUAGUAUCGGGCCACUCUUUGUCGAUAGGAAGUCAAACGG
Molecule: long non-coding RNA, 243 nt
Filed under: Elaeis guineensis (African oil palm)
Lineage: Eukaryota; Viridiplantae; Streptophyta; Magnoliopsida; Arecales; Arecaceae
Description: long non-coding RNA (EGUI_LNC077473)
Source: RNAcentral